AGUGUGUGUGUUAGUGGAAGCGUCUGGAAAGGCGUGCGAUACAGGGUGACAGCCCCGUACACAAAAAUGCACAUAUUGUGAGCUCGAUGAGUAGGGCGGGACACGUGGUAUCCUGUCUGAAUAUGGGGGGACCAUCCUCCAAGGCUAAAUACUCCUGACUGACCGAUAGUGAACCAGUACCGUGAGGGAAAGGCGAAAAGAACCCCGGCGAGGGGAGUGAAAAAGAACCUGAAACCGUGUACGUACAAGCAGUGGGAGCCUCUUAAUGGGGUGACUGCGUACCUUUUGUAUAAUGGGUCAGCGACUUAUAUUCUGUAGCAAGGUUAACCGAAUAGGGGAGCCGAAGGGAAACCGAGUCUUAACUGGGCGUUAAGUUGCAGGGUAUAGACCCGAAACCCGGUGAUCUAGCCAUGGGCAGGUUGAAGGUUGGGUAACACUAACUGGAGGACCGAACCGACUAAUGUUGAAAAAUUAGCGGAUGACUUGUGGCUGGGGGUGAAAGGCCAAUCAAACCGGGAGAUAGCUGGUUCUCCCCGAAAGCUAUUUAGGUAGCGCCUCGUGAAUUCAUCUCCGGGGGUAGAGCACUGUUUCGGCAAGGGGGUCAUCCCGACUUACCAACCCGAUGCAAACUGCGAAUACCGGAGAAUGUUAUCACGGGAGACACACGGCGGGUGCUAACGUCCGUCGUGAAGAGGGAAACAACCCAGACCGCCAGCUAAGGUCCCAAAGUCAUGGUUAAGUGGGAAACGAUGUGGGAAGGCCCAGACAGCCAGGAUGUUGGCUUAGAAGCAGCCAUCAUUUAAAGAAAGCGUAAUAGCUCACUGGUCGAGUCGGCCUGCGCGGAAGAUGUAACGGGGCUAAACCAUG
This 867-nucleotide ribosomal RNA is filed under the name Escherichia coli. Its description in RNAcentral is "partial 23S ribosomal RNA". It matches the Rfam family "Bacterial large subunit ribosomal RNA", at positions 319 to 1191 of the family's 2925-position model. Lineage: Bacteria; Pseudomonadati; Pseudomonadota; Gammaproteobacteria; Enterobacterales; Enterobacteriaceae. The record is from RNAcentral.